GGGAAGGUGGCUCAGUGUAGAGUGCUUGCCUUGUAUGCAUGAGGCCAGGGGUUCUAUUCCUCAGUACCA
RNAcentral lists this transfer RNA (69 nucleotides) under Dipodomys ordii (Ord's kangaroo rat). It matches the Rfam family "tRNA". Rfam says of the family: Transfer RNA (tRNA) molecules are approximately 80 nucleotides in length. Their secondary structure includes four short double-helical elements and three loops (D, anti-codon, and T loops). The record is from Rfam by way of RNAcentral. Lineage: Eukaryota; Metazoa; Chordata; Mammalia; Rodentia; Heteromyidae.